UAGGGAAUAUUGCGCAAUGGGCGAAAGCCUGACGCAGCAAUACCGCGUGAGUGAGGAAGGUCUUCGGAUUGUAAAACUCUGUCGGGAUGGAAAAAUGGCGUAGGAUCUAAUAGGUCUUACGAUUGAUGGUACAUCCAAAGGAACCACCGGCUAACUUCGUGCCAGCAGCCGCGGUAAUACGAAGGGUGCAAGCGUUGUCCGGAUUCACUGGGUUUAAAGGGUGCGUAGGCGGGGUAAUAAGUCAGUGGUGAAAGCCUACAGCUUAACUGUAGAAUUGCCGUUGAUACUGUUAUCCUUGAGGAUAGUUGAGGUAGCUGGAAUGUGUGGUGUAGCGGUGAAAUGCAUAGAUAUUACACAGAACACCGAUUGCGGAUGCGGCGUGCUAAGCCACAACUGACGCUGAUGCACGAAGGCGUGGGGAUCAAACA
This 428-nucleotide ribosomal RNA is filed under the name uncultured prokaryote. Its description in RNAcentral is "bacterial SSU rRNA". It matches the Rfam family "Bacterial small subunit ribosomal RNA", at positions 355 to 774 of the family's 1533-position model. The record is from RNAcentral.